CGGCGGACGGUUGAGUAAUGCCUGGGGAUCUGCCCAGUCGAGGGGGGAUAACAGUUGGAAACGACUGCUAAUACCGCAUACGCCCUACGGGGGAAAGGAGGGGACCUUCGGGCCUUUCGCGAUUGGAUGAACCCAGGUGGGAUUAGCUAGUUGGUGGGGUAAUGGCUCACCAAGGCGACGAUCCCUAGCUGGUCUGAGAGGAUGAUCAGCCACACUGGAACUGAGACACGGUCCAGACUCCUACGGGAGGCAGCAGUGGGGAAUAUUGCACAAUGGGGGAAACCCUGAUGCAGCCAUGCCGCGUGUGUGAAGAAGGCCUUCGGGUUGUAAAGCACUUUCAGCGAGGAGGAAAGGUUGAUGCCUAAUACGCAUCAGCUGUGACGUUACUCGCAGAAGAAGCACCGGCUAACUCCGUGCCAUCAGCCGCGGUAAUACGGAGGGGGCAAGCGUUAUCCGGAAU
This 460-nucleotide ribosomal RNA is filed under the name uncultured bacterium. RNAcentral describes it as "bacterial SSU rRNA". It matches the Rfam family "Bacterial small subunit ribosomal RNA", at positions 96 to 551 of the family's 1533-position model. The record is from RNAcentral.